Molecule: ribosomal RNA, 429 nt
Filed under: Actinomycetes bacterium
Lineage: Bacteria; Bacillati; Actinomycetota; Actinomycetes
Also listed under: 1 other name
Description: Actinobacteria bacterium partial 16S ribosomal RNA
Rfam family: Bacterial small subunit ribosomal RNA
Source: RNAcentral
UAGGGAAUCUUCCGCAAUGGGCGAAAGCUUGACGGAGCAACGCCACGUGAGUGAUGAAGGUCUUCGGAUCGUAAAACUCUGUUAUUAGGGAAGAACAAAUGUGUAAGUAACUAUGCACGUCUUGACGGUACCUAAUCAGAAAGCCACGGCUAACUACGUGCCAGCAGCCGCGGUAAUACGUAGGUGGCAAGCGUUAUCCGGAAUUAUUGGGCGUAAAGCGCGCGUAGGCGGUUUUUUAAGUCUGAUGUGAAAGCCCACGGCUCAACCGUGGAGGGUCAUUGGAAACUGGAAAACUUGAGUGCAGAAGAGGAAAGUGGAAUUCCAUGUGUAGCGGUGAAAUGCGCAGAGAUAUGGAGGAACACCAGUGGCGAAGGCGACUUUCUGGUCUGUAACUGACGCUGAUGUGCGAAAGCGUGGGGAUCAAACAGG